UACGUAGGGGGCUAGCGUUGUCCGGAAUCAUUGGGCGUAAAGCGCGUGUAGGCGGCUCGGUAAGUCUGCUGUGAAAGUCCAGGGCUCAACCCUGGAAUGCCGGUGGAUACUGUCGAGCUAGAGUCCGGAAGAGGCGAGUGGAAUUCCUGGUGUAGCGGUGAAAUGCGCAGAUAUCAGGAGGAACACCAAUGGCGAAGGCAGCUCGCUGGGACGGUACUGACGCUGAGACGCGAAAGCGUGGGGAGCAAACAGG
This 253-nucleotide ribosomal RNA is filed under the name uncultured bacterium. RNAcentral describes it as "partial 16S ribosomal RNA". It matches the Rfam family "Bacterial small subunit ribosomal RNA", at positions 524 to 776 of the family's 1533-position model. The record is from RNAcentral.